GCCCCGGCCACCGCCGCCGGGACUGGCUGCCGCCGCUUCUCCUUCGCCGCCUCCAUGGGCUCCCUCGCGGGUGGCGCAGGCAGGGUUAGACAGCGCUCUGGUGAUAAACCUGACGGCCAGACUCCACUAGCACUCAAGCCAAUACAACCACCGAGGGUUGCUACAUCACAGGGAAUUACAGAAUAUGAAGACAUGGAGGAUACAAGCUUUUUAAAGCAUCCACCAAAGAGAAAAAGACUCUCCGCAAACUUUGAAAAAUGGGUUAUUUAUCAAGGAAAUCAAACGGAUGCAAAACUGGCAAAAGUCACCAGUGCUGGGUAGGAUUCUGUGAUGCUGGCAGCAGGAGCCCUGAGAGAUUAUAUUGGUGGCUACUGGAUGAGUCUCCUAGUAGAGAUGAUGUGCCACCAGUACUCCAUCACAGGGGUUGCUUUCAGAAAUACACAAGCUAGGUGAGUUUGGCACCUGUCAGAGUUGUAGUGAAUUCAUCCAGAAAGGAAAACAACCUCUAAAUCUAAUCAGAGAGCAUGAGAUUCACCUGCUCUGUAGCCACCUGAGCAAGCAUGUCCUCCGGUGAUUGGUCUUGUUGCAUUGUUUGCCUGAGAACACACAAAGAAAUCAAGAAACUUCAUAAAACAGAAACAUCUGAGAAAGCAACCAAUCUGAGGGAGGCAGCAUGUCCAGAAGAUGAUGACACGUGGCACAGAAUAUCUGUGGAAGACUUGAUUGCUAAGGAUGCCGUUUAUCACUCGACACGCCUUUCUUCCUACUUGAGUCCAACAAACCUGAAUGCAAAACCAGCUAGUUACACUGCAACAAUACGGUCACCUUAUGACCUUGAAUUUUAUCAGCUGAUUGAAGAAAUAGACAAUGAUCUUAGGUACAACAAGAAGGCUCUUCUCCUGUCCAAGCUGCUACAAAGAUAUGAAGAGCUGCUUCCCUCAGAUGUACAAAUGGCAAGCUAUUCCAGCAGCAAAUUACAGACAUGAUUUAGCAAAACACUAUGGUUCUUCAAUUUCAUUCCAUGCACAGCAUGGACAAGGCAAAUCUACCAUGUUCUAUGCAGCACAAUAAUAUUAGCUGAUGCUAUCCAAGCUGCUAGUAAUCUGAAGCAGGAAUAGAGACAUCCAAGUGUUUUGUGAAUGUUCUUCUAGCGAGUGAGCCUGAUGAACAGCUUUCAAAUGAACAAUGCACUGCGAUGGUCAAAAGAGCUAACUGAUGUGACAUUCCGGCAUCCCAAUAUUCACCACUGUCAUGUCAUUAGCAUGUUUUGUACAAAGUAUGCCCUGUGAGGUAUCAUUCUAAAAGUCUUGAUCUGCUAGACAUUAAUAUCUCGUUGGAUUUUAUGUGCUACUGUCAUAUGUGAAGUUAGGCUAUGUCUGUGUCACUGAAACGUGUUGUGAGACUGAAAACACCCACAAGCAGCCUUUUAGGUAAGACAGUAAAAAGGCCAAACAAUGUAAAUGGCUUAUUGAGGAGAGGCACACAAGCACAAGGAUUACCCCAGGAACUGUGAACAAUAGAAACCUCUCAGAAACAGCACUACACAAUGGGAACUGUUUGACCCAGGUCACAGCA
This is a long non-coding RNA of Gopherus flavomarginatus (Mexican gopher tortoise), 1575 nucleotides long. RefSeq lists it as uncharacterized. The transcript is spliced from 3 exons. The record is from RefSeq and is a predicted model, not a curated record. NCBI's taxonomy places the organism in Eukaryota, Metazoa, Chordata, Testudines, Testudinidae.